Zea mays is the source of this 13056-nucleotide RNA transcript. RefSeq lists it as uncharacterized. The record is from RefSeq and is marked provisional. The transcript is spliced from 5 exons. NCBI's taxonomy places the organism in Eukaryota, Viridiplantae, Streptophyta, Magnoliopsida, Poales, Poaceae.
UCGUCUGUUUACGUCCCUACACCUGACAUCACAAAGAUAAUGAACCCAUUCUGGGAUCUCAGCCGUCAAACGCCAAACAGACGGUGGACAAGCGAUGUGCUGGCCGAGGUCCAAACAAGGCUCCAAGGCCGUUUCAAUCCAACCGUUUUAAUCCGUCCUCUCCUGGCCCCUGAAUUAUCAUUUUUUUUAUAUAAACCGAUUGAAUUUGCUUAUUUCCGGAUUUCUAAAUCAUCUCCCGAUUCCUCCGCUCGUCAAAUCCUCGCCGUGUCCGUGUAGCAAUUCCUUGCGUUGGCGAAUCAUAGCAGUCUCCUCUCUCCGGCGGCAAAUCGUCGAACUGCCACGCCUGGCCCCGCCGCCAGCCUCCUCGUCUGAAGAAGAACGGAAGACGUCGGGCUCCGGUGGUUCUGAACGGCAGGUAGCCAGUCGCGCUUCUCACGCCGGAGACUCGAUUGGCGUUGUAUUUGCCUUUCCGUUUGUUGAGUUCUCGAAGCAAAACGAUCGGAUGAGAUUCUUCAAGGGGAGCAAGGUGGAGGUAUUGCAGGAGGCAGAGGUGCCAUUUGGUUCUUGGAGGCCUGGUGAGAUCAUCUCCGGCAAUGGACACACCUACCUGGUGAGAUAUGAUGAAAGUCCCGUUGACUCUAGCGUGGCUGUUGAAAGGAUGCCAAGGAGGUUGAUUAGACCUAGCCCUCCUACGGAUGAUCCUGUACGCUGGAGUUUGGGUAGUAUUCUUGAGGCCUUUGACAGCUACUCGUGGAAGGUUGCUGAGGUGGUGAGAGUGCUUAGAAAGAAUCAAUAUCUAGUCAGGCUCCUUGGGUCGUCGCUGGAGUUGAGUGCACAUGCAUCAGAUCUUCGAUUGAGGAAGCUUUGGUUAGAUGACAGAUGGAUUGUGACUCAGAAGUAUUCCGCAAGAUGCUUGGAUGGUGCAUUCAGAGGUCAAUCUGAAGAUGGAAAUUUAGACUGCAACUUGAGAAAGGACAGCCAUAUUCAACUUGAGAACCGGAAUGCUUUUGAGGGUGAUACAUCUAGAGGCAUGAAGAGAAAAUCGUCUGCUAUAUCAACACAUCCUCAUUGCAGCGACAUCAGUAAGAGAUUGCAAUGCAGUGACGCCACUAAGAGAUUCUGGACACUAAAUAGAGAUGGAAGGCACACAAAGCUGGUUGAUAGAGGUUUUUUCCCUUUGGCUGAAAAGGUAGAUGCUGUUGAUUCCCCAUGCUUAAUGCUGCGUGGGAAAUACAUGCAUGCUAGUCAUAAAGGGCAUACUAGAACAACUGAAGAAUUUAGUGACACAGAGAGUACCUCAUCUUCUGUUGGUAGUUCUAGUCCUAAUAGUACCCCCCAUAGAUCACAGUAUUAUAAUUUGGUCAACCAAAGUGGAGAUAUCUGUAGUAGAACUGAUGGUGAUGAAGCUUUUACAUUCGAAAGAGAAACAUCAGAACAUGGUAACGAUGGAUCGAGGGGAGAAACCCAUUUGCUGGAAUUACAUGCUUAUCGUGCGACAAUGUUAGCCUUGUAUGCUUGUGGGUCAAUUAGCUGGGAGCAAGAGGCUUUGUUGACUAACCUAAGGUUAACACUGAACAUCUCAACUGAUGAACAUCUAGCUGAAUUGAGGAGUUUGGUUACCCAUGCUGUUACUUCCAGAUAGCCUUUUCUUGUUAAUUUCCUGGGGACAUUUCAUAUAUUCCAAAUUAUUGUAAGUUGGGAAAUCUCAUUAAGGGGUUGAGGUGUUGGAGUACUUCAUGUGUAGAAUUAUACUUGUCAAAAGAGUCACUUGGGAAAUUUUGUACUGUUGAUAUCUCAAGACUUCUGAAUUUUUGGGACAGUCUUGAAGUAUUAAUAUUUUUCACACUGAAACCUUUUUUUAAUCAUUGCAUUAGCUUAUGUUGUUGUUUAACAUUGUACUACUACACCGAUAGUUCUUGUAUCCUUGAUUGCAUUUGUGAUGAUUGAUGACUUUAACUUUCAAUACUUUGAUCAAAGCAUGUACAAGCCGCUCCUACUAUAUCAAUUCUCAAAGAUAUAAGUAUGAAUAUUCUUGAGGAAGUUUAGUUUUUUAAAUGAUUGUCUUUGUAGUGUCAAUGUUUUUACUAUAGUUGUGCUAUAGUUGCCUCCAAAAGUUGUGAAAAAUUGUAUGUAUUGUGAAAUAUCAAAUAUAUGUUUCCUCUUGACAUUGUGUUGAUUGGUGGGAUGACUAAUCCAUAAUGCUUUUUGCUGUUAAUUUAGUAGCAGCUGUUGUGCAUUGGCAGUUCCACUUUAGUAUUGUUCACUUCUGCAACAGCAAAACUUUGGGGAAAGGAAAUCUGAUACUUCUCAUGAACUUUCCAGGGCCAAGGUUGGAGGCUUGUAAAGCAUCCUUCCAUAGGUUCUUAUAAAUGGAGGAGUCUGCCACAUGUUUUGCAGUGUGAUAAAUGUGACAAUAUUUCCAUUGAACUUCCAUUGGUACUUAAUUUAUUUUCAAUAUAUUUUUUCUUUUAGGACCAUUAUAUGUUUUCUUCUAGGAUAGGAUUCUCUCGUGCCUUGCUUUUUAAGUUGCAUGAUACUUCAUUGCGACAUUAAUGGAUAGUAGUUUCCAUGUGAGCUUGUCAUACCUUAUGCUUGCAAAUAAUAGAACAAAAGCCUAAGGAGCACUCAGUUUGGUUUAUUUAUAAAAUAUACAAAUGUAAUAACACAAAAGGGUUGCCCUGUGUGGCUACUUGUACAUGCUUAUCUCAAACUUGGAUCAAAGAUUUAUUUUUGAUAUUUUUGUUCAAAAUUAAGGUUAAGCAGGGCCAAGAGUGUGGUUCCAGAUUGGUACUGGUUGCUGGAUAAAAGGGUCAAAUUGGAUUAGUUUAUGAUCCAAACAAAAAGGUGAUCUGAUUGUUGUGUGAAUUUUCACAGAACAAGCAUAAUCCCUCUUAGGUAAGUGCUCCUGUAACUCUUGGUUUUAUUUAAAUCCUUUUUGGAGGAGAAAGAUUUGAAUGAUACUUACAAGGUAUACUAAAAAUGUAUUUUGAUCAUUGUACACAUUUUUCAUGUAAUAAAGCAACUGGCAGUCUUAGCUGUAUUUUCAUAUUAUUAUAUGGAUUUAUGGUAAACAACUCUAAAAAUAUCAGUAAGUUAAGACCUUGUUUGGUGGAGCAGGUCAUUAAGUGCUCUCUAGGAAAUCGUGGAGCUAGAUCUAUAAGCCUUUAGAAGACAUUUAGAUAAAUCAUUUUGUUUAUUAUUUAGAUUAAUUUUUUUAAAACUAUUUAAAUCGAUAUUAUAAACUACAACUCCACACUAGAGCUGGAACAUGGAGCCAUCACAAACACCCCCCUAAAUUGCAAUUGAUGCCUACCCUUCAGCAAAAAAACAGUAGUUUAGGUAGGCAAUUGUAGGUCGCUUGCAGAGGCUUUAUAUAUCCAUUGUGUUGAAGUUAAGAAAUAUUCAAGAUAUAUGUUGCGGAGUGCAUAUUGUUUUGAGUUAAAAUUUAAAUAUGAAGUAGGGACUAUAAUUUAGGGGUUGUUUGGUACCUUUGCUAGCUACUGUUUGGAUGUCUAGAUAGCCUACCUUGAUUCCUGCGCUAGCGAGCUUUUCUUUGCUGCUUCAAUUGCUUGUUUGGAUUGGAGGAGAUUGAAGGGGAUUGGAGGGUAUUGAGGGGGAAAUGAACUAAUUUCCCCUUCUAACCAAACAAGCCCCAAGCAAGCCCAAUUGGCUCUCCUUAGCCGGGAAGCAUUCAGUUACUCACGCUGGUGAAGCAAGGCAACCUGGUUCGGGAACCAAGCAUGCCCUUAAUUGGUUGUCUGGCAAGGACAUUGAUCUAUGCAUUGUUAAGAUUUUCCUUGCUAGUGUGGUGAGCAAAUUUGGCUCGUCUGGACGGGCAAGAUCCUUGUGGCUUGUGCGCCUUAAGAAAUGGGAGGUGGCUUGUGCCAGCCCCUCAAUACCUCAACCAACUACUUGUGUUUAUGGGUGUUCACCUAAGAAUCUUGCAUCAAGACAAGGGUGUUGUUCCAUGAAUGCCUACACAUUAUGACUAUCAUUGUACGCUUGAAAUCUUUGUUAGAUAAAAAGGACAUAACCAGUGCUGGCAAGGACAUGAUGGGGUUUGAGGAAGGAAUAACCGAGGCAAGUCUUACCCCUACAUUUUGUGGAGAGGUUGUGUUGAACCAAGGACCUUUUGGCUUAGUGGAAAGACCUCUCACCACCAUGGUUAUUAAAGCGUCGUUAAAACAUCGUUUAAACGCUAAAACGUGAUUAUCAUGUAGAACGCCCGAAAGUUUUGACCAAAUCUCAUAGAACAUCCAUGAAAUUUGUUUAAACGUUCGUUUUUGCGUCGUUUAAACGUUUUGGGAUGUUUUAGGCGCGUUUUAGAAGUUUUAGACUAUGGGACCUCUGAAAGGCCCAUCAAGCCCCAGAGGUAAGACGUCGGCCUUCCCUCUCAUGUUCUCCUUCUCCAGCGCCUCCACCCACCUCCCUCAGUCCCUCCUCCUCUCCUCCAGUUUCGCCCGCUCUAGUGUCGGUUCCAUCAAUUCUAGCCAUCCAACGUCGCUCGCUCCAUCGUCGUCCGCUCCAGUGUCGCCCGCUCCAGAAUCACCCUCCUCCAGCGUCGCCUCUCUCCUCCCUCCUCCAACGCCACCACCCAUCAACCACUGCCAGUAGCCAGCUGGUCCCAGGUCAAGACGCUAGGUGCCAGCAGCCAGUAAAUCACCGGUUCACCAUUUCAUUGUCGCCCUGCUCUAUUUGGUAUCUGUUUGUCAUCUUGCUCAGCUAUUCCUCUAUAAUCUAUUUGCACUCUACAGUCAGCAUUGAACACUUGCUGAUCUGCACGCACUCAAUGUUUCAGGCUCUCAGUAAUUUCAAUUGAUGAGUUGGAUGAUGGUUACUGAUGCUAGAUGCAAGUUCUUACUUGCAUGUUGCAUAAUUACAUAUACUUGAGUGGUUAAACUUGAUCAAUUUUCUUUUAUGCUAUUUGUUUUGUGAACUCAAGUACUCAACUUAUGAGUAUGAACAUAUCCUAUUCUGUUGUUUUAUGUCAAGUCUGAAAAGACGUUUCAACGUUCGUUUUAACGAAUAAAUAUUGAAAAGGUGGCUUCUAACUGUUUAUCGUUUUAUCGCUUUAAUAACCAUGCUCACUCAUGUCCUGCUUGAAUUUUUUGUUAGAUAAUGAAAAAUAAUUUCUUAGAUGUUCUUGGAAUAUAUUUGAAGAUCUUUGUAAGUUUUUUCUCGAACAACGCAGGAGAUCUACGUGUCAUUUCAUUAAGGCCCCGUUUGUUUCGUUGGAAUUGAAUUAUAUUAUAAUAAUUAUAAUUUAGACAAAACUAAUUGAGUUAAUAUAUUUAUUUAUGUAAUGUAUUUGUAUGUUAUCCUAAAUCAUAUCAGAUAGAUAGUUAUAAACUAUAUUUAUGUUAUAGAGAAACAAGUAGAAGAGUGUGCUAUAAAUUGUACAUUAGAAAAGUAACAUGUAAAUCUAUAGAAUUAAUUUCCAUCUCUCGCCCCCAUGAAUUUGAGAUAGGCUUAUAUAUACACUUUGGAAAGUUGUGGAAUGUCACAUUUUUUUAAAAAAUAGUCUAUUGCAUUAGUUAAAUUCCAAUUCCUCAAAAUGAAGGUAAACAAACGAACCCUAAGAAGAGAGAGAAGGUACCACAUACAUCAACUAAAAGCUUUGGUUGUUACAACUGUGACACCUAGACCAUUUGAAUACAAAAACCACAGAGGGGUAGGCCAUCAAGACCUACACAUUCGUAGCUCGUGCCCAGACCAGGAAGUCUUGCAGUUUGGAGGCCCCAGCCCACCUCCAAAGCCGACAUUCCUCAACAAUCCUUGUGAUCAAAGUGAGUGUGUUAGGCUCUGAAUUCUCAAAGACACAAGAAUUUCUGUGCUUCCAUAUCUCCCAGGCUAUUAAAAUGAUAAGGGAAUUCAGCCCUUGCCUCCUUUCUUUUGGUACUAACUUGACCACCUUCCUCCACCACUUAAAAAAAACUCGACCUGCGGGGGGGGGGGGGGGGGGGGUAAGACAGCCCCCGACUAUUAUAUUAAGAAUAAGACCUUCUCACACAGGUCAAGAAAAACCCGAACCCCUGCCCCACCAUACACAGCGGCAUCGAAGCCUAUGUGAGAACGACCACGAUUGGGGCUGAGCCUUAGACCCGUGCUUUGGCGUGGGACAGGCGAGGGAUUUUUUUAACCACAACCUGAAUUUCGCUCCCACGGGGAGUCGAACCCAGGACCUGAGGAGUGCUACUCAGACCACCUAACCAACUCAGCUAGAGGCUCUUUCGCUCCUCCACCACUUAGGAAAGGGCCUUCCACCGGGUCCCAUAUCAUAAGAUACGCUUGUAAGACUUGGACAGUUAAGGUCUCUUUUAUAUCUGAUAUCCAUCUCCUGUUGUUCAGUGCCUCAACAACUGUCCUCUUUUUUACGGUUCUUUUGCCAAUAGUUGUGAUCAGAUGGGGUGCUAGUUCAGCAAUGCAUUUCCCUUCUAACCACCUGUCCUUCCAAAAUAAAUUUUUUUCACCAUUACCAAUUAAUGGGAAUCAUAGCCAUGUUGAAGAGAGCUUUGACAUUUCGUGGGACCUCCAAUUGAAAACCAUCCGAAGGACGUGGUCGAUCCAAUUUUUGAGCACAUAGCCAUCUUAUUUUCAGUGCCCAACCUAAUUUUUCCAUAUUUAAAAUCCCUAAUCCGCCAUAGCUUAAGGGGCAUUGAACCUUUUCCCAUGACACUAGGCAAUUCCCUCCAUUGGCCCUUUCUCGCCCUUUCCAGAGAAACCCACUCCUUAUUUUGUCCACAGCCUUAAUGACCCAUUUUGGCAGAUCAAUUGCUAGCAUAGAGUAUAUUGGGGAGGCUGUCAAGACUGCUCGUACCAUAAUUAAUCGACCAGCCCGGUUCAUUAGAGAAGUUUUCCAUCCCGGCAAGUAGUCUGAAACUUUAUCCACCAACAGUUGUAGAGCCUCCUUAGGGGGGGGGGGGGGGUUAUGGAUGGAUAGAGGCAGCCCAAGAUAUGUACAUGGGAAUUUUUUUGCACUGCAGGACAGAACUUCCAUUGUUAAAAGUCUUUCAGCUUCUGAACAUUGAAUAGGGGCCACAGAACUCUUAGAUAAAUUACAUUGUAAGCCAGAAGCUUGCCCAAACAGGUUGAGGAUGGACUUUAUAACCAUCAAAUCUGUCCUUAAGGGCUCAAAGAUAUUACUGCGUCAUCUGCGUAAAAGGAGAUCCUAUGCCUGGCAUAUUAUUGGACCGCAAGGGGUUGCAGCAGCUGGUUGGAAGUGGCAUACUUGACUAAGUAGUUCAGAGCAUCCAUAACAAGGAUGAAGAGCAUGGGAGAGUGUGGAUCACCUUGCCGUAGGCCUCGUUUAUGGAUAAAAGGCAAACCAGGUUCCCCAUUGACAAGGAUUCUGGUUGAGGUGGUGGAAAGCAACAAGCUUAUAAGAUCACACCACCUCUUACCGAAUCCCACAUAUUCUAUGACUUCAAGGAGAAAGGGCCAGGAAACCGAAUUAAAUGCCUUUGAUAUAUCCAAUUUCAGCAGAACAUGUGCUUCUUUUUUCUUAUGUAAGGCCUUCACCAUCUGUUGAACAAAGAUGAAGUUGUCAUGGAUGUUUCUGCCCCUAACAAAGGCACUCUGAUUUAUGGAGACAAUGGAAGGCAGUAAGGGUGCCAAUCUGUUUGCCAAGACUUUUCCCACGAGCUUGGCAAAGCUAUGUAUUAGGCUGAUUGGUCUAUAGUCUUUCACUUGCAUGUCAUCAAUUUUUUUUAGGGAUAAGGGUGAUGAAGGCUGUGUUGAGAAGCCUGAACUUGAAAAAUAUGUCCCUAGCACAAGCAGCAAAGGCCUCCAACAAAUCAUUUUUUAUAAUGCUCCAACAUACCUUGUAAAACGGACCUAUGAAACCAUCCAAGCCAGGUGCUUUGUCAAGGGGUAAGUCUUUAACUGCUGCCCAUAAUCCCUCUUCUGUGAAUGGGUUGUCCACGCUGGCCAAAUCAUGCUGCUGCAUACCAAUCUCACUAAGAUUUAAAGUUAGGGGGCGACUUUCAGCUGUUCCCAAGGCCUUUUCAUAAAAUUUCAGCACUGCUGCCUGCUUUUCUUCUUGUGUGAUAGCCAUAGAGGUUUCUGUAUGCAGCUUAGCAAUAAAAUUCUUUUUCUUUCUGAAACGGGCUUGAUGGUGAAAAAAGAAGGUAUUUGCAUCUCCUUCCUUGAGAUAAAGGAUUCUAGAAUGCAGUCUAGCAAUGGUACGUUCCAAAGAAGCAAGACCAAGCAGAUGUAGUUUAAGCUUCUUUUUUAGCCAUUCUUCCCUGUUUGAAAGAUCCCUGGAAUCUCUUGCAAUCUCCAGUCUAUGUAUUAUUUCCUUAGCCAUCUCAAUAUGUAAUUUAAUGUUACCAACCUUUCUUUGCCCCCACUUCUGUAAAUCUUUACUGAGCCGUUGCAACUUGAGAAAAAGGCGCUCUACUGCACUUGUGGACUGUACAUGAGCUUCCCAGUUCCGUUGAACGACCUCAAGGAAUCCUGGCACUUUUGCCCAAAAGCUUUCAAAAUGAAAUCUCCUCUUGCCUUUAGUUUGGAGUUUUAAACCAAGAAUCAAAGGGCAAUGAUCGGAUACAUUAGACGCCGAACUUUGGAGGACUGAAUCAGGAAAUAUAUUCUCCCAUUCCAAACAGCAAAAGGCCCUAUCCAGCCUUACCAAAGUAGGUGAACUCCUCUCGUUGGACCAAGUAUAUUUACGGCCCAGGAGAGGGAUUUCUUUCAAAUCAAAUUUAUUUAAAAAUCUCCAAAACCUUCCCAUCAUGUCCCUGUCCAGAUUAUCAUUAUUUUUGUCUGAAGCCUGAUAAAUCAUGUUGAAAUCUCCAGCUGUCAGCCACGGCUCAUUACAUAACAUCCUGAUAUCUUUCAAUUCCUGUAAAAACGUAAUCUUUUCUUCCUCACAUCCUGAGAUCUUUGUAAGUGACCACAUCCACAAUGACUGUGUUCUACAUUUUGCUUUACAUGUUUUGUGUUGAACACUUAGGUGUUUUAACUGUUUACUGUUUAUUUGCUUUAAAAAUGCCAAUUGCUGCCUAGAAUUGUUUUAUACCUAUGCUUAAAUAGAAUACUCCAUGCAUGAUGGAAUCUUAGACAACUGGGGAAAAAUGCUUUACGGUGUGCAAGUUAAUACAUGUAAUUAGAAAUUGGCACACAUUCUUAUGUGCUAGAUCGUUGCUUCCGUUAUCUCCCCAUUGCAGACAAAUAUUCAGUAUGGGAUAUGUAGUGCUAAUUUGUUUGUUUACAAGUGUAGGAAUAUGAAAGUGGAUGUAUUGAUAGGAGAUGGAGUACAUAUAUAUAGAGACUCAACCCUAACCCUAAUGGGCCGGCAGCCCAACAGUGGCGCCGGUCCACACACACAGUCUAACAUCCCCUCACAGUCGCAACGGGGGUACCACACACGAUGAGACUGGAGUAGAGGCCGAAGGUAGGAGCCGACGGGUUGAAAUCCCCCGCAGUCGCAGCGUCGUGAUGGUGCGAAUGUUGCGGCUGGAGUAGAGAUUGGUGUGUGCUCCAAGAAGACGAUAGCCCCUAGAUGCCGAGGUAGCCGAAGUCGAGGUGGUCGCGGUCAGGAGACACGCAGCAAAAGCCUGUUCUUCGGGAGGAGUCGACGUUCGAGCGUCAACGAUUGGCGAGGGCGACACAACAAAAGAGCACCAGCAGGUCGGCCUUCCUGCUUCUUCGAUCGUCCGGGCGUCAAGGAGCCCCGCCAGGGAAGCCGACAGCAGCGCACGCGUCUGCACCGGUCAUGGUAGCCGCGCCUGCGGCAGAAUAGAAGGGGAAACGGCAGAUCCGGCCGGGAAGGCCACGACAGCGACGGAUCCAGCCGGGAAGAAGCGAUCCAGCAAAAGGGACGGCAGAUCGAGCCGGAAAGGUCGCAGCAAUGUGGAUCCGGCUGGGAAAGCCGCGACAGCGACAGAUCCAGCGAAGGCGAUGAAGGGGGUGGGCGGCGGGGCAGGUCCAGCCGGGCAGGGGCCUGCGCCGGACCUAGCAAGGGGUGUUGACGACACCGGUGACGGGAGAAGCUCGAAGGGUGACGCGCUGCUGGGCAUCAGCGCGGUCAGUUUAGGAGGUGGCCAACGCGAUGAGGAGGGGCAACACGUGCGAGGGUGCCGACGGAGGACGCAGCGAAGAGGAGGGGGCACAUGCGAGGGACGCAACGAAGAGGAGGACGCCGACCAAGGGAGGCAGCCAUGGGGAACAGGGAACGAGCAGAGGGACUGCUCGCACCCUGUCCCAUCUCAACGCGCGGGAAAUGGGGCUCAGGAGCCGAGUGCCAUGGAUCCGAAGCUUGGCUGGCGACCUAGGAGAGGUAGCUGAAGUGGGAAGCCGGUUGGAGACCGCGGCCGCCAUGGGGCUGGAGGUAGAGCGCCGUGCGUCCGGGGGCUUGUGCCCGCCGAGCAGGGAGCCAGACGGCCGGAGAGGAACCAGAGAGAGGAAGAGCAGCGGCUGCUGUAGAGGAAACAGGGAGAAGAAGAUGGGGGUGUCGGCUUCCUGAGGAGAGGGAUGACGACCAGGGACAGGACCUGAGCGCCAUGGGAGAUGAGCAGAGAGAGGAAAAGCUGAGGGCGGCCAUUGCUGCCGAGCUGGAGAGGAGAGGGGCGAGAGCAGAGGGGCUGCUCCGGCGCGCCAUGGGGAACCGCGCCACCGGGAGAGGCCGCGCCCGCCAGGGAAGGCCGCAACUAGGCCGCCGUCGGAUCCACGCGAUGGCUCGUCGGUCCUGGCGGCUGCUGUGGGGUGAGAGGCGGUCGGCGGCUACUGUGGUUCAGGCGGAUCCGCCAGCGGCAGCGCAGAUCCAGGCGGACAGCCCCGGCCCCAACCUCCUCUGUUGUUCGCGCCGGCGUAGGGGAGGGAGGGGUAGCGCGCGGCCGGUGCAGGGAGGUCCGACGGCGGUUCAAGGCCGGGGAGGAGGUGCCCUGGCGGCGUAGGGGAGGGAGGCCGCCCCCAGGAGUGUGUGCGUCAGCGCCCUGCACACGAGGGGAGGUGGCAGGGACCGAGCUCCAGGACAUCUCGCGCAGGGAGGCUCGCCGGCCUAGGAUGGCUGGGAGCCGGCGGCUGGAGAGGAGCUGCCCUAGGAGGGAAGGAUGAGCCUCCCGGGGCGGCGGCGCGGAAGCCGUGCCUAGGGCAGAGGUGGGGUGGCGGCUGGGGAAAGAAGUGAGGAAACCCUAAUCUUUUGAUACCAUGUAGGAAUAUGGAAGUGGAUGUAUUGAUAGGAGAUGAAGUACAUAUAUAUAGAGACUCAACCCUAACCCUAAUGGGCUGGCAGCCGGCAGCCCAACAGUGCCGCCGGCCCACACACACAUUCUAACAAGAUUUUGAUAAUCACAUUGGUUAUUGCACAGGACAACGAUGAACAUUUUUGGGCUUUAUGAGCUUUCAAUGUGCAAUCGGUGCAAGUUCAUUUCGGCUCAUGGAUAAGUUGAUGCACACUGCAAUUCUAUAAUCAGAAUUUAUUAUUAGCUUAAAGGAAGUGAUAUUUAGGUGAAAUAGUGUGAAACUCAAACAUAAGUGAUAUUUAGGAUUAAAGCCAGGCUAGGUGUCCAGUUAUCAAAAAACACAUCUAUUUGCGGUGCUUCCAAAUCAUGCAGGCACCCAGGAUGAUGAGGGAGUCAAGUCCUUUCUUGAAGAGCCCAUUCACAGCCUCCGAGGCUUUUUCCCACCACUCAAAGAAGGAUGUGGCACCUGGUUGUGGUGCUAAAGAAUGCAUACCAAUCUUUCUCAACAUCUUGUACCAGAAGAGUCUUGCAAAUACACACCACACAAACAAAUGAUUUAUUGUUUCAGCUUCCUGGUUACAUAAAGGACAUUUGCUUGGGUGAUUCAGAUCUCUCUUAGCCAAUCUGUCAUGUAAUGUCCAAAGGAGCUUGACCCCAAGAAAAGAUCCUUAUAAGCAGCCUUUGCGGUGUAUCUGCCAUAUGAAGCAAUGCUAAAGAUAUGCUUAUCCUCCCUAUUGGGCUGCAGUUCAAAAUCUGAGGGAACUUCCUAAAGAUGAAGAUAGUCCAUCUCCUAUUUGAUAAGGCGUCUUGGACAGUUCUCUUGUUAAUAAAUCUCUUUGGAAUUGAGCCAAACAGCCGAGGAGCCAAAUCAGAAACUCUUUUCCCAUGUAGCCACUUAUCCAUCCAAAACAUGGUGUUUGAUCCAUCCCCAACCUCAGAGAUCAAGGCCCUGGAAAAGAAAGCUUGAGCCUUGCCAGGUACCUGAAUAGGUAAGCCAGUCCAAGGACGUCCAGGGUCAGUUUUUUUGUAACCAAAGCCAUCUGUACCCCAUGCCACCAAGCAAUGCUCUACUACGAUUUUUGUAAAAGCAUACAAAUGUGCCCUAGUUCAGGACUUGCAGCUGAUUUCCAUGUACACACAAAACGUUGGGAUUACAUGGUCUGGCCUUGCAUCAAAGAAUACUUGCAGGUAUGUCUGUACAGUAAUUUGCCAGUCGUCUUAUACAUAUGAUACAUACCUUUUUAUCUGUUCUUGUGUUUUGUAAUCCAGAUAUUGUAGCUGUUCUUCAUGAGACUUAUUUUGGAGAAUUAUUUGGCCGCCCUACUUUUGUGCUAAAGCCAGUUGCCCUUCAAUUUACAGAAGUGAUCGUUGUGCAGUUGAAGGAACAUGUUUGAAAUGCAAUGGAUAGGCCAUCACAUAUUUUCAGAAGUGAAGUGGCUGGCGCUCCGGUCCCGGUGGUGCCCAUCUGCUGCUGCCGCCACUGACGACAAACAAUCGUCGUCAGCCAUAAUGAUGGUGCGUUAUGGGCCUGAGAUGGCUGCUGAUGCUCUGGGCAGUGAGCACAGGCUUUGUGCACAGCAUUGAUACCAACCAUGCCCGAACAGAAUGGCAUCGCCAGUAUCUUUCUGCUGCCCUGCACAUGCACAGUACACUCCAUCAGUACUGCAGGAAUGUGUCUGUCUGGCAACAACAUGUGUCAAGGGUUUCGUCAUUCUCCAGCCUCAGCCUCUGCACCAACCAGUUUAAAGAUUCAUUAACCUCUCUCGGUCUACUUGCACUCUAACCGUUACAGUUAACCAACCAUUGGACGAGUCCUGUAGCCGACCAUCCUAAUUCUCGGACGUCACGGCGUUUGGCCGCCGGAACACAAGCA